GAAUAUUGGGCAAUGGACGAGAGUCUGACCCAGCCAUGCCGCGUGCAGGAAGACGGCGUUCUGCGUUGUAAACUGCUUUUAUCUGGGAAGAAAAAGUCCAUGCGUGGAAAAUUGCCGGUACCAGAUGAAUAAGCACCGGCUAACUCCUUGCCAGCAGCCGCGGUAAUACGGAGGGUGCAAGCGUUGUCCGGAUUUAUUGGGUUUAAAGGGUGCGUAGGCGGCUAUUUAAGUCAGCGGUGAAAGACAUCGGCUCAACCGAUGCAGUGCCAUUGAUACUGGAUAGCUUGAGUGUUGGAGGGGUACAUGGAAUUGAUGGUGUAGCGGUGAAAUGCAUAGAUACCAUCAGGAACACCGAUAGCGAAGGCAUUGUACUGGCCAACAACUGACGCUGAGGCACGAAAGCAUGGGUAGCGAACAGG
RNAcentral lists this ribosomal RNA (419 nucleotides) under uncultured bacterium. RNAcentral describes it as "bacterial SSU rRNA". It matches the Rfam family "Bacterial small subunit ribosomal RNA", at positions 359 to 776 of the family's 1533-position model. The record is from RNAcentral.